CUGGACCUUGCAGCGAACAGCAUGCCUGGCGAUCUUAGUCAAUGGAUAAUGAAGCAUUAUGAUCCAGAGAUGUCACAGAUAGUUAUUCUAGAGAGGGGGAAGAUUCCAGAAGAUGCUGCGAGUGUUCGGAGGAUAUGGCGUUUGCCAAAUAGUGGGAGAAAAGUCUGUUACGAAAACCGCCCUGAGAACACAAAGGCAAUGUUCAGGAUUUACAAUAUCACUUCAAAGAAUUCACCAUCUCUCACAGCAUGGUGCAAGAUGAUCAAAGAUAUGGCAGGAGCUCACGAUGACGACUUCCUACGUGCAUGGUUGUCUCUUGUCUUCUCUUGCUUCCUUGCACCAUCUACAAGUUUAAGCAUUUCACCAAAAAGCUUCCCUGCAGUCAUGGAUGUAAAUGGAAUAACUGAAACCAACAUAUGCCAAUUUGUGGUUGAUCAACUAAAGCUAGCAUUCAAAUCAGGUCGUGCCAAGAAGGCCGUUUGUUGCUGUGUUUUCCACCUCGUAGUAAGUCCACCUACCUUUUGA
Molecule: ribosomal RNA, 525 nt
Filed under: Triticum aestivum (bread wheat)
Lineage: Eukaryota; Viridiplantae; Streptophyta; Magnoliopsida; Poales; Poaceae
Description: partial small subunit ribosomal RNA
Source: RNAcentral